RNAcentral lists this unclassified non-coding RNA (417 nucleotides) under uncultured Sebacinaceae. Its description in RNAcentral is "sequence contains ITS2". The stretch from base 1 to 154 matches the Rfam family "5.8S ribosomal RNA". The record is from RNAcentral. Lineage: Eukaryota; Fungi; Basidiomycota; Agaricomycetes; Sebacinales; Sebacinaceae.
AACUUUCAACAAUGGAUCACUAGGCUCUUGCAACGAUGAAGAACGCAGCGAAAUGCGAUAAGUAAUGUGAAUUGCAGAAUUCCGUGAAUCAUUAAAUCUUUGAACGCACCUUGCACCCUUUGGCAUUCCGAAGGGUAUGCUCGUUUGAGUGUCAUUGUACUCUCACACUCCCAAUGCUUUUGGAUUGGGAGCGGUGGACUUGGGUGUUGCUGCUUUACGGUGGCUCGCCUCAAAUGGAGUAGUGCAACUCUUGGUUGGACAUAGUACGGCGUGAUAAGUGUCUUCGCCGGCGCCUCACUAGAGGGUGGCUGAUCAGGAUCUCUGUGCUCCAAACCGUCUUCGGACAAUCUCUGACAACUUGACCUCAAAUCGAGUAGGACUACCCGCUGAACUUAAGCAUAUCAAUAAGCGGAGGCU